UUGGAAAGCGUAAAUAACGUUAAUCACGUGGGUAAACUGCGCAGGCACAUCACGCUCCCGGCAUGCCCGCAGCAGCGCUUACAGAGGAGGCAGCCAUCCUGCCCUGGAGUAGGUUCUUCGUGCUGUCUGCUCAUGGGCUGCUGAGCCAGAAGAGGAUUCUCCUGGCAACCCCAGCCACAGGCUGUGCCUGCCCAACUGCCCACCGCAGGUUGCAGCUCAGGUAUUCACACCAACUGCCUGAGCAGGUGGCAUCACCUCCAGACACCCUGUGAGGGCCUCUGCAUUUAAUAACAGCAACUUGAAACAACUACCAAGGUGGCAAAGAAGCCAGCCUAAGGCAUGUGCCCAUUUCGCCAGCCUCCUUCAGGGCCAUUCAUCCUGCCCCAUCAUUCACGUCCUCCUUGCCCCCAAACACACUGGCCUUUGUGUAGAUUCUUGAGUCUGUCAUAUCCCUCCUGCCUCAGGACCUGUGGGCCAGCUUUUCUCCGAGACUGGCUCAGCCCCUCGCUAGUUCAUAUCACUCUCUGAGAGCAGUGUUCUCUUUCUACUGCCACUCUUCUUCACCCCAGACCGUGCCAGGUCCUUCCAUCUUAAGCUCUCAUAACAGUGUAUCUUCCCGUCAUAGCUCUAACACAGUGCUUAACUACAUGCUGUAUUUUUAGAAUCAUGUCAUUAAGGUAC
This 681-nucleotide long non-coding RNA is filed under the name Capra hircus (goat). RNAcentral's name for it is "lncRNA (ENSCHIG00010019976.1)". The record is from RNAcentral. Lineage: Eukaryota; Metazoa; Chordata; Mammalia; Artiodactyla; Bovidae.